RNAcentral lists this long non-coding RNA (813 nucleotides) under Capsella rubella. Its description in RNAcentral is "long non-coding RNA (CRUB_LNC003185)". Lineage: Eukaryota; Viridiplantae; Streptophyta; Magnoliopsida; Brassicales; Brassicaceae. The record is from RNAcentral.
UUAUCCUUUGUUGGAGGACGUGGCAAACUGGUCGUGGUGGCCGUGGUGGUCGCGGUUAAUCGGCUUUAUCCUUUGUGCUCUCUUUACCUAAUAUAACAUUUACUUAAGUGUAUGUUCUUCUCUUUUAAGUACUUCCAAAAACUAUAUAACCUCAAAGUCAUCUCUUUGUAAUUUUUUUAUGCAUUUAAUUUGAAAACCCUUUAACAAAAAAAAAAUAUAUAUAUAUAUAUAUAUAUAUAUAUAUAUAUAUAUAUAUAUUAUCAACCAAUAUUUUAUUACUUUUAAAGAUUUAGGCUGGGGUGGGGUUGACUUGAUGUUGUCAUGUUGAUGUUGAUACUAUUUUUUGCAUACACUGGUCCUCCUUUUCCAAAUUAAUCUCUCCAUUAGCUUUGUUUUUCUCUCAGCCCUUUUUAGCCCUGGCUCAAAGGCAGUAUAUAAAUAUAGAUAAAUUAAGACAACAAGCAUAAUUAAGAAUCAAAAGGUGUGUUAUCUAAACUCAAUAAAUCAUAAACUGGUUUGGUAUUUGACCAUGACUUGAUAUAGUCAGGUUUUACUUAAUCUACUAACCCACAGGCCACAAGCACAUUUGCAAGUGAUCCACAUUGAGUUUUUUCUUUUUUUUUUACCUUCACGUCUCUGGUGGUCGGUCACUCUUCUUUUAAUCUACUAACCCACAAGCAAAGUUGAUCCACGAUCCAUCUGUCCAUAUCCUUCCUCUUCAUUUUUCAUUUUUUAAUACUCUUCCGAAUAUUAGAUUGUGGGCUUCCAACUUAAAAUCAAUUGAAAAUGAAUAGAGAGACCCAUAUAUGUUUC